Molecule: ribosomal RNA, 409 nt
Filed under: uncultured microorganism
Description: bacterial SSU rRNA
Rfam family: Archaeal small subunit ribosomal RNA
Source: RNAcentral
GUGCAGCAGUCGAGAAUACUUUACAAUGUGCGAAAGCACGAUAAGGGAACUCUGAGUACCUCCUAAGAAGGCUGUUCAGGUGUCUAAAAGCACCUGAAGGAAGGGCUGGGUAAGACCGGUGCCAGCCGCCGCGGUAACACCGGCAGCCCAAGUGGUAGCCACGUUUAUUGGGUCUAAAGCGUCCGUAGCCGGCUGGGUAGGUUCCUUGGGAAAUUUGGCUGCUUAACAGUCAAGCUUUCAGGGAAUACUGCUCGGGCUUGGGGACCGGGAGAGGUCAGAGGUACUCCAGGGGUAGGGGUGAAAUCCAUUAAUCCUUGGGGGACCACCGGUAGCGAAGGCGUCUGACCAGACCGGGUCCGACGGUGAGGGACGAAGGCUAGGGGCGCGAACCGGAUUAGAUACCCGCGUA